CUACGGAGGGUGCAAGCGUUACUCGGAAUCACUAGGCGUAAAGCGCGCGCAGGCGGUCUUUUAAGUUGGAUGUGAAAGCCUACGGCUCAACCGUAGAACUGCAUCCAAAACUAUUAGACUAGAGUGUGGGAGAGGAAGAUGGAAUUAGUUGUGUAGGGGUAAAAUCCGUAGAGAUAACUAGGAAUACCAAAAGCGAAGGCAAUCUUCUGGAACACUACUGACGCUGAGGCGCGAAAGCGUGGGGAGCAAACAGGAUUAGAUACCCUAGUAGUCC
RNAcentral lists this ribosomal RNA (274 nucleotides) under uncultured bacterium. RNAcentral's name for it is "partial 16S ribosomal RNA". It matches the Rfam family "Bacterial small subunit ribosomal RNA", at positions 523 to 796 of the family's 1533-position model. The record is from RNAcentral.